ACGGAAGGCAGCAGUGAGGAAUAUUGGUCAAUGGGCGGAAGCCUGAACCAGCCAAGUCGCGUGAGGGAAGACGGUCCUAUGGAUUGUAAACCUCUUUAGCCGGGGAGCAAUAAGCGCCACGUGUGGUGUGAUGAGAGUACCCGGAGAAUAAGGAUCGGCUAACUCCGUGCCAGCAGCCGCGGUAAUACGGAGGAUCCGAGCGUUAUCCGGAUUUAUUGGGUUUAAAGGGUGCGCAGGCGGCCCUGUAAGUCAGCGGUUAAAUCGUGGAGCUCAACUCCAUCCCGCCGUUGAUACUGCAGGGCUUGAUUGCGGUCGAGGUUGGCGGAAUUCGCCGUGUAGCGGUGAAAUGCAUAGAUAUGGCGAAGAACUCCGAUUGCGUAGGCAGCUGACCAGGCCGUAAAUGACGCUCAUGCACGAAAGUGCGGGGAUCGAACAGGAUUAGAUACCCUGGUA
RNAcentral lists this ribosomal RNA (453 nucleotides) under uncultured Porphyromonadaceae bacterium. RNAcentral describes it as "partial 16S ribosomal RNA". It matches the Rfam family "Bacterial small subunit ribosomal RNA", at positions 341 to 792 of the family's 1533-position model. The record is from RNAcentral. Lineage: Bacteria; Pseudomonadati; Bacteroidota; Bacteroidia; Bacteroidales; Porphyromonadaceae.